Molecule: long non-coding RNA, 5167 nt
Filed under: Glycine max (soybean)
Lineage: Eukaryota; Viridiplantae; Streptophyta; Magnoliopsida; Fabales; Fabaceae
Description: long non-coding RNA (GMAX_LNC001546)
Source: RNAcentral
UCCUUUCCCUUGUUCUUACUCGAGGAAAUACAAGCAGUUGUUACGAAGGCAAGACAACAAGUUUUCUCGUGUUUUCAUUUCCCCCUCCUUUUCCUCUUACACUUGAUUUACAAUCCGGUUUUCCCUUCCAACAUCAAGUUUCCAUUUUCUUCUUCAUAAGACCAUGUCUUUCUACUCUAUGAAGAUCAUGACUUUCUAACUUAGCAACACCCUAUCACGAUUAAUAUGUUAUUUGCUUCUCUGAUAUAUUUUUUCACUUUAUGUUUUCAUGUUUUGUUGCUUGAAACAAGAAUGGCUUGGUCUCAACUUAGUCAAAUCAAAGUAAGUGAGAUACAUCCAGGUUUACAUUCGUGGCCCGUGAAAGCAAAAACCAUUCAAAUGUGGACUACCCAAGACAAGAAAGAUAAUACACGAGUCCCAUAUUUGCAACUCAUACUGUUUGACAGGUGAAUUUAAUUGCAAUUAAUGUUUCAUUUUGCACUUUAUAUGCUAUCUACGCUGGUGUUACUUCUCAUUUCAUUCCAUGUCUAACUGUAUACAUAUUAUGCUGAUAUAAAUAAACUUAUAUCAUAAAAUAAAUGAUUGAAUAGGAGAUCAGGGUACUUAGUGUGACACUCUCUACCCAAACAUAUAUAUAAAUGGGAAAAACGUAUAAAAUAUGAAAUCUAAUUAAAUUAAUUUUUAUUUAAUAAAAUCGUAAGUAAAUCUAUGUGAGUAAAAGAUCCACAUUCAUUUCACAGUUACUAAAUAAAAUUUUUCAGAAACAUUUCUAGCUCAAAAAUAAGGUCGUUCAAGUUUACAAAAAAACUCAAGUUAAAUAGCAAAAUAAAAUAAUAUAUUCGGAAUAUCAUGUAAUUAAAACAAAAAAAUGUAUCCUAAUGUCACAUCCUAUUAAAACAUUGUGUCCUAGCGUCCUUUAGCACGAGGUUCCUUAAAACAAUAUACCUAAUCAUAUGCUCUUAUGAACACAAGGAUUGAGAUCAUCAUAAAAUUCAAACACAAACAACACAAGAGAAUAAAAUAAAAUACAAAUAAAGAAAGACAUAAGCAAAAUACAUUAUGGAAAUAUUUAUCACAUAGUUCAACUUAAUACAAUCCACAUCACUUCACCGCUUUAUUAUUUAAAAUUCGUUUUUCAAUCACCAAUCACAUUACACAUGAAUCACACACUCGACUUAAGACGUAACAACACUUACCAAUUCAUAAUAAGCAAUUCACAUGUAUUAUGCAACAAUUAUAUUAAGACUCAAAUAUAUAUGCAAUGUGAUAUCAUAUCAAUGAAAAACAACACCAAAGUUUUAAGGAGUAUAUAACAAGACAUGCCAUACAAUGGGUAUGUCAGGUCACUCUCAUUAAGUAAAAUUAUAAGGUGACUUAUCAGGGUCACUCUCUUUUGCGAGAAUCUUCUAACCAUAUGGGAUCAACAUAAGCUUAAAGGAGCACUUAAACUGAGUGUAUUUACCCCCAAGGCCUAGACUCCGAAGAAUCCGUUAGGGUCUCACCUUUCUGAUUCAGGUCCAACCCCUAAAACAACUUUUGCACGUAGGCACUACUCAUGAAUUAUACAAUACCCACAACUCAUAACGCAAGUAAUAUCAUAUCAAGUAUUAAACACACACUUAUUCACAACCAUAUCCCAUGUCCAUAAUUUAACAUCUCACAAUAUCACAAUCCAUCAUCAUAUGUUCACAUGUAUCCUACAUAUUAAUACAUGCUCAACUUGUCACUUAUACUCAAUCUCAAUCAUAAUUUCAUAAUCCCAAAAUGAUAUGUCAUUACACCUCAUGUUUAUUUAUACAUUUUCAUAACAUUCAUAACAAUAUUCAUAAGGUACAACAUACACAUGUACAUCAAAUCUAACCAUAAUAUUCUCAAACUCUAAUACUUGAAUAAUUUUCUGAAUCAUACUAUAAAAACACUACAAUAUUAUUUACAUCAAAUCUAUGUAUAUAAAACUAGCACACAUCAUACUAGAUUUCAAAGUAAACAUUUCAAAAACACCAAUUAAAAAUAAUCAUAUGAACACUUUAACCCCCCCCCCCCCACACACACAUAACUAACAUGACACAAGGCAUAAGAGUAAACAAUUCAAAUAUAUAAAAAGUAGAAAGCAAAUCUACUGGACUCAAUUAUAUAAAAAACAUUAUCAUAAGUAAAUAUUUAUAUAGUAACUAAAGUUGUCAUUGAAAAUACCUUUCCAAACUAACAUGCAUAAUAUGAUAUUAUUAACAUGACUUAAUCUCAAAUAUUUUAAAAACACACACACACACACACACACACACACACACACACAUAUAUAUAUAUAUAUAUAUAUAUAUAUAAAUGUAAAAAUAAGUAUAUAUGAAUUCAUAUAUAUUAUCUAAGAAUACAUCACACAAUCUACUAGGAAUCUUCGGUCAAUUUCAAUUAUAAUAUUAGUUCCAAACUAUAUAAAAGAAACCCUAGAAAGCACGAAAAGGGAAAAAUACAAAAUCAAUAUCUCACUCUUAUGGGAAAUCUUUCCUUAUUUAAUUUCAUCAAUUCACGCUAAUUAGAAAAUUUCCAAUUUCUCGGGUUCACACUCAACACAAGAACAUAUCAAUUUCACAACAAUUUCGGCAUCGGGACGUCAAUCGAUCUGUCAAAUACAGUCAAUUUGUAGUUAUAAUUGUACAUGAAAAAUUAAAACGCAUAAAACGCCCCAAAAUUAUUCCCAAUUUGAUUCUCUAAGGAUCCCUACACAUAUUCACUCUAACCUCAAUUGCAAUAAACUCAUCUCUUAUCUCUAAGUGGGAUCGCGUGUGUAUUCCAGUAGUGAUAGCAGUGUCUCUAGCAGCUCUCUAAGAUUGUUCAAGCUUUUCCUUUGGUUUCUUUGCUAGGGUUUCCAAGCAUUAGAGAGAAGGAGAAGAUAUUAAAGCCUUAAUUUCACUAUCUCCGUGCGAGGGAUAUUUCUCUCUACAAACAUUAUUCCACAAAUCGCAAUGGUGAGAAUGUGCAAAAAUGAGUUCUAAAGGUGGUGUCCAAAUUUUAGGGUGAUCCAACGAUUAACGAGUUUGACAUCAUAGUUUUAUUGGAACAAGUUUUAGUGUGUGAAAAAAAAAGGAAUUUUGGAGAGGAAUAAGGAAAAUGAAUUUGGGAGGAAUAGACAGUGUAGAAACAUAUUGUAAAUGUAAAAACUGAUCUAAUAUGUUUCUAUUUAUAGUUAGGGUACUCUGAACCUAUUAUUUAUUCUAUUUUUCUUUAUUUUAUUAUUUUAUAAAAAUGAAUUUUAUUUUACUCCUUUUCAAAUGAAUAAAUAAAAUAUUCUUUUUAUUUUCUAAAAACAUUUAUUUUAUUUAUCCCGAAACCAUUAUUUUGAUUAAUAAAACUAUUUCUCCUUAUUUAUUUAAUUACAAAAAUCUCAUUAUUUUUUAAAAACUCUAUUUAUUUUUGAAUAACACUUUUUUUAAUUUAUUUUACGAAAAAUAGAGUGUUACACUUAGAUAAUAUGUGAUAAAUCUGAUACUUCUCUUUCAGCUAGCUAAUCACGUGUAAGCUUUACCUGUUAGCAAAAUAUGUAGUAGGUACCUGGAUGUGGCUUGAUAUAUAGGCUUGUAUUUUGGCCAUGUUUUGCCCUAUUGCUUUACUUGGGUUAUCUGCUAUUUACCAAGGAUUUCUCAAUGUAAGUUCUCUGUAACCUUUUGAUGCAAUCCUACCCCGCAAGGGUAUUGGAUAGAAGACUCCAAGUAGAUUGGGCCAGAGAUGCAAGAGAAGGCCCUAGGGUUCUUAUGAGUCUUAGGAUAGAUUUUGGGCCCAUGGGCUAAGUAUGAGCCCACUUAUCUUUGUAAAUAUUAGAUUAAGGUUUCAUUAUUUUUGGGCCUUGUAUUUAGGGCUCCAUAAUGUAGGUAGAGUACCUUAGAAAUAUAGGAUUUUUCAGCCCUUGUAUUUUAGGGCACCUAGACUAGUUUUUUGUAUUAGGGGUAGUUUUGUAAUUUCACAUGCACUAAGUGAAUAUUUGAUGUGUGUGGUUGAAAAUAAAUUUAAUUGAAUUGGUAGAAGCCCAAUCCAAUGUAGCUAAUAAGUGAAUAUUUGAUGUGUUUCAAAGGUACAAGCUUACCCUACUUGAUUUUGAUAUAGAAGUAUGGGGUCUAUAUGUUUCAGAAUCUCAAUGUAGCUAAUAAGUGUACAAUUGAGAGAAUAACAAAUCACAAAUAUAGGUUGGUUUUGACAAGGUAUUUUGUUAUUAGAUCUAUCAAAUAGAAAAAACUUAAGGAUAUUGUCAACUUGACAUAAUGCAACUCACCUAAUAGGUUAGGCUUCAUUAAAAGUGUUUAAGAUCGUUUUCCUUUAUUUAAUAGGGUUUUGUACAUACUGUUUAACACAACCUAUAUGUUUGACGUUGUUGGAUUGCUAACUGUAAUGUCAUCUUAAAAAACUUAUAUAAAAGAUGGACAAGCUGUUAGGAGAAUUUUCUUGCAAAUAACUAAUAACACGUAUUUAUUCUAGCUUACUAUUUUUUGUCCAUUUUUUAAAUUUGCUUUCACACUUUCUAUUAUUUGAGUUUUGACGACUUUGUCCAUAAUUUAUUAAACUUAGUGGCUCAAUAGGAUGUGCUUUAUCUAAUGAAUGUGUUGACACUAUCAAGGAAUUCUUUGAGGACACUGAUGACUCUAUUUCAAUGUUAAUAAUACAUUAUGCAAUUAUCUGACCUUAUGAUUAUAUGUUGUUUCAUUAGUUCUCUUUCACAAUAUUAUUUUCCUGCUAUGAAAAAGAAAAUCUUAACUAUUAUCAAUUAUUAUUUUUUAGGUUAUGUAGUGAUUAAGAAUCAACCAACAAUCACUAAUGUGGUUUUCAAUCUUGAUAUCCCUAAGAUUGUGGAAUUGAAGAAAUAAUAUGUAGUUCCAGUCUACUCUACACAACAAAAUUUCAAUUAUAUAUACACCAAUAUUUUUAGUAAGAUUAAUUUGAUUUCACUUCUCAACUUAAUUCAAGAUGGUUGGGACAUGAAUAGCAAAGAUUCAACUUCCUCUUUUGAAACAUUCACCAGAUCCUCUUCACAAUCUCUUAUUUGACCAAGACUCCUGUGAUAGCAAAAAUUACCAAAAACAUAUUCGGGCUUAUAACCGAAUGUUUGUUUUCACAUCACUAGGAGCAAAGCUUGACAAAUCCUUCAACAAUGGGAGGACCACCAUCUUUUAGAAUACAAGGC